GACGGACGUAGCUAGCGUUGUUCGGAAGCACUGGGCGUAAAGGGGGCGUAGGCGGCACCGCAAGUCAUGGGUGAAAGCCCGGGGCUCAACCCCGGAGGUGCCCGUGGGACUGCGGCGCUCGAGGCCGAGAGAGGGGGGUGGAAUACCCAGUGUAGAGGUGAAAUUCGUAGAUAUUGGGUGGAACACAGGUGGCGAAAGCGGCCCUCUGGCUCGGGCCUGACGCUGAGGCACGAAAGCGUGGGGAGCAAACAGG
RNAcentral lists this ribosomal RNA (253 nucleotides) under uncultured bacterium. RNAcentral's name for it is "partial 16S ribosomal RNA". It matches the Rfam family "Bacterial small subunit ribosomal RNA", at positions 524 to 776 of the family's 1533-position model. The record is from RNAcentral.